RNAcentral lists this ribosomal RNA (252 nucleotides) under uncultured bacterium. RNAcentral's name for it is "partial 16S ribosomal RNA". It matches the Rfam family "Bacterial small subunit ribosomal RNA", at positions 335 to 604 of the family's 1533-position model. The record is from RNAcentral.
UACCUACGGGGCGCAGCAGUGGGGAAUAUUGCGCAAUGGGGGAAACCCUGACGCAGCAACGCCGCGUGCGGGAUGACGGCCUUCGGGUUGUAAACCGCUUUCAGCAGGGAAGAACAUCGACGGUACCUGCAGAAGAAGCCCCGGCUAACUACGUGCCAGCAGCCGCGGUAAUACGUAGGGGGCGAGCGUUAUCCGGAAUGAUUGGGCGUAAAGGGUGCGCAGGCGGCCUGCUAAGUCUGGAGUGAAAGGUAC